AUUUAGAACGAUCUCUCCAUCAUAUGAAUUUAUAAAUUAAAACCCAAUUUUUUUUAGCAGAACAUUGUAUAUAAAUAACGUGAAGCGCCCGAAUGUUUUUUUCCGCUUAUCGGGAUUUUUUUUAAUUACAAAGCGAGAAGAGCCAAGUGGAUUAAAUAUCCAUCUUGAACCAGCUGACCAUGGCUUCCAAACUAACAUUAGAAUCGAUCCAGACAAGUGUGUUUCUGGAGCUGGAGCAGUGGGGCGCGAACUGUGCAUCCUAGCCCAGGGCUAAUUAAAAGUGUGCGCGCGUAUUAAAAAUUAGAUAAGAGAGAGACGAAAAGACUCACCUGAUGGUGUCGACGAUUUCGAUAGCCCCAUCGUGUUUGUCCUAGGAGAACGGAGAGAUGCAUUAUAAAAGGGCUAAUUCCCACAUAAGAACAUAUCCAUUGAAAGUGACGUUGACUUACCGAUGCCGACAACGGCCAUUGAUACACUGCUGGUUCGCGCCCCGAGGGGCUGUGAAGUCUUAAUUCCAGUGCCAUCGUCCACUCUAGGACUGACUCCCACGACACCGCUACCACUGUGGCAAUUAGUUGAUCUUCAUUUUGCCACCGAAUGGACGCCACACAAACCUUGCCCCUGUCGCAUACAUCCAGCACAGCAGAGGACGGAGAUGGGAGAUGUCACGUGACGGAGCAUCAACACCCUGAUUGGUCGUAGCGGUCAAGCUGGUGGUGGCAUUUAAAACAAAAUUACUAUUUGAACGAAGCACAGAUCUUCUUACCACUGUUUGAAACGCCUUUACGCUUCAAAACUACUUCGGAGAUGACAGAAGAAGAAAGGCCAACUAACUCUCGCUCGGCGUGGCAGACAAUGAGAGACUCACCUUGGUCACGUGCACCGGAAGUAAGCGAUCAGAAGAAAGGACUUCAGGUAAAAAGGAAAUAACUCCUAUAGUGAUACAUUCAUUCAUUGGUCGUUUCCACAUCCAUUUGUAUUUUAAAGGGGGAAAAUAAGUUUUACGUCACGGAAAUGAUGACUAAUCAUCAUCAGAAUUUAAAUUUCCAUCCGGCGUUUCUUUCUUCAACAGUAUUAUAUUUAAUUUUACAUGGGCGGAC
Molecule: long non-coding RNA, 1100 nt
Filed under: Androctonus crassicauda
Lineage: Eukaryota; Metazoa; Arthropoda; Arachnida; Scorpiones; Buthidae
Source: RNAcentral